AGGAAGAAAAGGUUGCUUCAAAGAAUACCCAAAUUUUAAUAAAACAUAAUCAGACUUGGAUUGUUACAUCCAGACUUGGACAAAACGUUUGGGAGCAGCUUCCAGGAGGGCUAAUGCAAUGGGCCAGACAGAAAGAAGACUGAUCAUUGACAUCUUACUAAUGAUGCAGAGACUACUAAUUUCUGUGAUGACUAAAGCUGCAUCAUUGUCUGACAUUUGUCUUGAGACUGGAAGGAAUAUCAACAUUUUGGAGUGGCUCAGCCAGAGUCCUGACUUGAAUCUAAUCAAAACACUUUGUAUAAAACUAAACAUUAGGCUGAUGGCCAGAAGACCUUCCAUCGUCCAAGACUUGGAGCUCAUUAUCAAAUAUAAAUAAUCAAAAUACCAGUGGAAACAUGCAAACACUGCUGUAAUGUCAAUAAAUAUUUUUUU
Long non-coding RNA from Girardinichthys multiradiatus, 432 nucleotides. RefSeq lists it as uncharacterized. The transcript has 3 exons. NCBI's taxonomy places the organism in Eukaryota, Metazoa, Chordata, Actinopteri, Cyprinodontiformes, Goodeidae. The record is from RefSeq and is a predicted model, not a curated record.